This 984-nucleotide unclassified non-coding RNA is filed under the name Hevea brasiliensis (rubber tree). The record is from RNAcentral. Lineage: Eukaryota; Viridiplantae; Streptophyta; Magnoliopsida; Malpighiales; Euphorbiaceae.
CAUUGGCUUUAUUUAUGUGGCUGUAGCAUUAGAUACCAGGACAAAAAGAACCUGGCUCACCAUGUUUUCUGAUGUAUUUAGACAUUUGACUUCAUCAAGAUCAUUAGAUCAAGCCAAAGAAUAAUAUCAGCAUCUCUUAAUUCAAAUUGCUUUUAUUGGGACUCAAAAGACUUGACAUCUACAUAAUUGAGCUAAAGCACAUUGAUCACUUGAUUAUUGUUGACUUAUUGUAAUACUUUUUCAAGUUGGUAGUAAUAAAAAGCCCUCAAAAGCUUGUGGGUGAUGAUGGUGGUUGUAUAAUAGGUCCACACAUUUAUUAGUGCAUGUCAUUCAUAUAACUAUUUGUAUUGCUAGUGAUGAAGGGCACCGAAGCGUUUUUCAUAGGGGCAGAGAAGUGGACCACACGUUGAUUAGUGGGCAAUAUAAUAGUUAGCCAUAGGAGAGGCUGCAAACCGCAUCCUGCUACACAACUUCUCAUAUUCGUAAUAAUUUCUCACUUUUUAAUCCCUUCUUGAAUCAAAAUAAACGGAUUUUAAGAUUGUCAAUGGAAGUGCAAUUUCCAAUGUGAAGCAUGGAUUCCCUGACCCAAAUUUGUUUGUUUGUUAUGAACUUUACUGUAUCAGCAAUGCAUGGAAAGAAUGAUUAUAGUAAUUGUUAUUAAGUUUUAAUUUCAAAUUAGUUGGGUCACCUGUAUGAAUAAGACAUAAAUUCUCUUUUGUUCUUUCCCCCUGACUCUAAGGGGGGGGUGGAAGAAGUAAGCAAGGCUGCAGGAGUUGAACUCCUAACCAUCUGCACUAUGAGGCGGGCAAGAAUAUGCAGCUAUUUAUUUUUGUUUUUCUUUUAUAGGUGUAAGUUAACAUACCCAAAGAAAAAUACCAACUAUCAGGCUUUUCUUUAAUCAAUUGGCAGGGAAAGCAAAUAAUAAUAGAUAUGUUAUUAUAUGAACAAUCUAUCCAGUUUUGGACAAAAUUUCUUAUUUCUUUA